This 440-nucleotide ribosomal RNA is filed under the name uncultured bacterium. RNAcentral's name for it is "partial 16S ribosomal RNA". It matches the Rfam family "Bacterial small subunit ribosomal RNA", at positions 338 to 795 of the family's 1533-position model. The record is from RNAcentral.
CCUACGGGAGGCAGCAGUGGGGAAUAUUGCACAAUGGGGGAAACCCUGAUGCAGCGACGCCGCGUGAGGGAUGAAGGACGUCGGGAUGUAAAGCUCUAUCAGUAGGGAAGAAGAUGACGGUACCUGUAUAAGAAGCCCCGGCCAACUACGGCCCAGCAGCCGCGGCAACACGGAGGGGGCAAGCGUUAUCCGGAUUUACUGGGUGUAAAGGGAGCGUAGAUGGCGAUGCAAGCCAGAUGUGAAAGCCCCGGGCUCAACCGCGGGACUGCAUUUGAAACUGUGUGGCUGGAGUGUCGGAGAGGCAGGCGGAAUUCCUAGUGUAGCGGUGAAAUGCGUAGAUAUUAGGAGGAACACCAGUUGCGAAGGCAGCUAUCUGGCACAUAACUGACGCUGAGGUGCGAAAGCGUGGGUAGCAAACAGGAUUAGAUACCCGGGUAGUC